AUUGAACGCUGGCGGCGUGCCUAAUACAUGCAAGUAGAACGCAGUUGCGAACGGGUGAGUAACGCGUAGGUAACCUGCCUCAUAGCGGGGGAUAACUAUUGGAAACGAUAGCUAAUACCGCAUACUGUGAGAUGGACCUGCGUUGUAUUAGCUAGUGGGUGAGGUAAAGGCUCACCAAGGCGACUAUACAUAGCCGACCUGAGAGGGUGAUCGGCCACACUGGGACUGAGACACGGCCCAGACUCCUACGGGAGGCAGCAGUGGGGAAUAUUGCACAAUGGGCGCAAGCCUGAUCCAGCCAUGCCGCGUGUAUGAAGAAGGCCUUCGGGUUGUAAAGUACUUUCAGCGGGGAGGCGUUACCCGAAGAAGAAGCACCGGCUAACUCCGUGCCAGCCGCCGCGGUAAUUU
Molecule: ribosomal RNA, 408 nt
Filed under: uncultured bacterium
Lineage: Bacteria
Description: partial 16S ribosomal RNA
Rfam family: Bacterial small subunit ribosomal RNA
Source: RNAcentral